ACACAUAGCCAUACCACCCUGAGAACGCCCAGUCUCGGAAGCUGAGCAAGGUCGGCCCCGGUCAGUACUUGGAUGGGAGACCAGCUGGGAAUACCGGGUGCUGUAAUCA
This 109-nucleotide ribosomal RNA is filed under the name Patagioenas fasciata monilis. Lineage: Eukaryota; Metazoa; Chordata; Aves; Columbiformes; Columbidae. The record is from RNAcentral.